This 501-nucleotide ribosomal RNA is filed under the name uncultured bacterium. Its description in RNAcentral is "bacterial SSU rRNA". It matches the Rfam family "Bacterial small subunit ribosomal RNA", at positions 24 to 518 of the family's 1533-position model. The record is from RNAcentral.
UCAGGAUGAACGCUAGCUACAGGCUAACACAUGCAAGUCGAGGGGCAGCAUUGGAGUAGCAAUAGUUCAGAUGGCGACCGGCGCACGGGUGAGUAACACGUAUCCAACCUGCCGCUUACUCGGGGAUAGCCUUUCGAAAGAAAGAUUAAUACCCGAUGGUAUAAAGAGUUCGCAUGUUCUCUUUAUUAAAGAAUUUCGGUAAGCGAUGGGGAUGCGUUCCAUUAGAUAGUUGGCGGGUAACGGCCCACCAAGUCUACGAUGGAUAGGGGUUCUGAGAGGAAGGUCCCCCACAUUGGAACUGAGACACGGUCCAAACUCCUACGGGAGGCAGCAGUGAGGAAUAUUGGUCAAUGGACGAGAGUCUGAACCAGCCCAAGUAGCGUGAAGGAUGACUGCCCUAUGGGUUGUAAACUUCUUUUAUAAGGGAAUAAAGUGAGGGACGUGUCCCUUUUUGUAUGUACCUUAUGAAUAAGGAUCGGCUAACUCCGUGCCAGCCGCGGC